This 28-nucleotide transfer RNA is filed under the name Nyctimantis arapapa. Its description in RNAcentral is "partial tRNA-Gln". Lineage: Eukaryota; Metazoa; Chordata; Amphibia; Anura; Hylidae. The record is from RNAcentral.
AUUCCUCAAUCAUAGGUUCAAUUCCUAU